Molecule: ribosomal RNA, 324 nt
Filed under: Urodacus planimanus
Lineage: Eukaryota; Metazoa; Arthropoda; Arachnida; Scorpiones; Urodacidae
Description: eukaryotic LSU rRNA
Rfam family: Eukaryotic large subunit ribosomal RNA
Source: RNAcentral
UGGUGAACUAUGCCUGGGCAGGACGAGGCCAGAGGAAACUCUGGUGGAGGUCCGCAGCGAUUCUGACGUGCAAAUCGAUCGUCAGACCUGGGUAUAGGGGCGAAAGACUAAUCGAACCAUCUAGUAGCUGGUUCACUCCGAAGUUUCCCUCAGGAUAGCUGGCGCUCGAGUGGAGUCAGUCUCAUCCGGUAAAGCGAAUGAUUAGAGGCCUUGGGGCCGAAACGACCUCAACCUAUUCUCAAACUUUCAAUGGGUGAGAAGUCCGGUUUACAUGACUGAAGCCCGGACAAUUCUCAGGAUGCGAGUGCCCAGUGGGCCACUUUU